Molecule: long non-coding RNA, 1869 nt
Filed under: Homo sapiens (human)
Lineage: Eukaryota; Metazoa; Chordata; Mammalia; Primates; Hominidae
Description: HSALNT0132315
Source: RNAcentral
CUGAGAACCUCUCAGUCACAUCUCCCCUUUUGUGUCCUGCUUGUGUCUCCUUUCCCAGUGGCAAGCCCUGGAGGACGCUGCAGGUGACGGACACUUCACUAAGCUCCCCAGGUACAUUUGUGUGGCUUCCACCAAGGCAUAGCCAGUGACACUCACUUUUCAACUUGCCAGUUCUUUCCCAGAGUUGUGACUUCCUCUGAAGAUGUGAGCUCUGUCUGCUUGCCAAUCUCAGCCAGCCUAUAUCUUGGCAUAGGGUUUCGUCCUUGCCCCUCUAGCCCAUUGGUUUGAUAUAACCAGCCUCAGUCCACCUGUACUCCGAGGGAAGGCUUCCAGCUUACCAGGCCUGCCUGCCAGCUCAUGUCAGCUUAAGGGGAACCCAGGGAGGGAUGCCUGGGGAAGUCUUGGGAAAUCCAGUGAGCUUUCUGCAAUCUGUGGUCUUCAAAUACACCUUCCCCAGUGAGGCAUGAAUCCCAGCAUGGCGGGAAGUGCCUUCCAAGUUUGUUUCAUACUUGGAUAUUCCUCUCAGUCCUAAGGCAUUUUUUUUGGUGUUCUGUCCUAUCUUUUCUCAGUAUUUAAUCCCCUGUAUAUAGUUAAUAAUGUUUAUAUUAAAACUUUUCUCUUUUAAUUACUGUGUAGCUUCAAUUCCUGACUACCCCAAUUCACGCAUUCCCUAUAAUGUAAAAAUUUUUAGUAUCUUUCAGGUUAAAAUAAUAGCUACGGUUAUUACAAAGAUAAUUCGAAGAGAAAAAUAAUGCUUGUCUACUGUCUGCAUGAUCUGUGACAUAUUAUGUUCAUAUUAGGGAUCCUGAAUCAUUUAAGAGCAAAAAUAAAUUAGACAAUAGGAUACAUAAUAACUUUUUGAAGGAUUUAACUACAAAACACUAUAAAUAAUCACUGCAAGUAACACUUCAUGUCUUGGGGAAAUUCACUUAUGUAAAGCAUCUCAAUCAUUCAGUGUCAGGUCUAUAACUAUAAAUUUUAUCAAAUGUCAAUACUUCUACCUAUGUACUGGGUUAAAUUCUUUCUUGCCUACUCAUUUCAUUCAUUCAGCAUUUUUUUAUUCUUAUCUCUUAUUGUUAUUCCUCUGUCCUUAGUAGAUUAUUUCCGUUGACAAUCUCACGUGCAGUAAUAUACCCUAUCUUACCAAAUAUUUAAGUUAGUUGUAAAAGCUGUUCUUGGGCUCCACGUGUUUCUCUGUUCCUCACUCAAUUUCUUUGCUCUCCAUUAAAAAAAAAAAUCUGUAAAAUAGUGUCAAUAGUCAUGGCCUGAAUCUCCACUUAUCCCCACCUCUUCUCUCUUAUAUUUACACCUGUGGGACUCUCAUUUCUCACUUACCCCUCCCUAGGUUGUCAGCACUCUCCACGUUGCCAGAGGUAAAGGACAAUUCUCAGAGUUCUUCAUGGUAACCUUUUAAGUGUCCUUCACACAGUUCAUACUCCCUCCUUUUUGAAAUGCUUUAUUUUUGGCCUGCAGAAUACAAUAUUAAAAAUGUAUAAUUUUUUUCCUUCCCCACUCUCCACUCCUACUCAGCCUACUAACAGAAAUCUUCACCAACCAUUACAUGUUGGGAUACCCAAGAUUUAGAUGUGGGGCUUCUGUUCUCUUCUCCAUUUACUCACAGGGUAAAUACACUUUGUUCUAUGACAUCUAAGCAUUCUUAUAUUUUUGUUUUUAGUCUUGAACUCUCCUAGGAACUUCAGUCUCAUAUUACUCUCUUCUUAAACAUGUCUACUUGGAGGGUCCCCGUGGAGGUCUAAAGGUAUCUAUUCAUGCAUCUGGAGGGAUCACAUCUGAUAUCAACACAGUGGGAAAGAAUAAACUAAGCCAGGAAGCAUUUAUGAUCCUUUGGAUUGUCUUCUCUUUCAUGAA